GGGGUUGUGGUUCAGUGGUAGAGUGCUUGCCUAGCAUGCAUGAGGCACUGGGUUCAAUCCUCAGCACCA
This 69-nucleotide transfer RNA is filed under the name Ictidomys tridecemlineatus (thirteen-lined ground squirrel). RNAcentral's name for it is "Spermophilus tridecemlineatus (thirteen-lined ground squirrel) tRNA". It matches the Rfam family "tRNA". Rfam says of the family: Transfer RNA (tRNA) molecules are approximately 80 nucleotides in length. Their secondary structure includes four short double-helical elements and three loops (D, anti-codon, and T loops). The record is from Rfam by way of RNAcentral. Lineage: Eukaryota; Metazoa; Chordata; Mammalia; Rodentia; Sciuridae.